GACGGAGGGUGCUAGCGUUGUUCGGAAUCACUGGGCUUAAAGGGCGCGUAGGCGGCCGGGUUGGUCGUGGGUGAAAUCCCCCAGCUUAACUGGGGAAGGGCCUACGAUACUGCCUGGCUCGAGGGAGGAAGGGGCGGUCGGAACUGUCGGUGGAGCGGUGAAAUGCGUUGAUAUCGACAGGAACGCCGGUGGCGAAAGCGGACCGCUGGCCCUCUUCUGACGCUGAGGCGCGAAAGCCAGGGGAGCGAACGGG
This 253-nucleotide ribosomal RNA is filed under the name uncultured bacterium. RNAcentral's name for it is "partial 16S ribosomal RNA". It matches the Rfam family "Bacterial small subunit ribosomal RNA", at positions 524 to 776 of the family's 1533-position model. The record is from RNAcentral.